Astyanax mexicanus (Mexican tetra) is the source of this 250-nucleotide long non-coding RNA. RefSeq lists it as uncharacterized. NCBI's taxonomy places the organism in Eukaryota, Metazoa, Chordata, Actinopteri, Characiformes, Acestrorhamphidae. The record is from RefSeq and is a predicted model, not a curated record. The transcript is spliced from 3 exons.
UGCGCAGAGGAGAAGGCCAUCAUGCGGCCUAGGUACAGAGUUGCGCAGAGGAGAAGGCCAUCAUGCGGCCUAGGUACAGAGUUGCGCAGUGGAGAAGGCCAUCAUGCGGCCUAGGUACAGAGUUGCGCAGUGGAGAAGGCCAUCAUGCGGCCUAGGUACAGAGUUGCGCAGUGGAGAAGGCCAUCAUGCGGCCUAGGCGCAGAGUUGCGCAGUGGAGAAGGCCAUCAUGCGGCCUAGGUGCAGAGUUGCG